CCAAACUGGUCGAGAGCACCUCCGGGAGGGAAACGUUUUCCUCUCUAGAUCCUUCGCUUGGGAGGUUGUAGCAUGCUAAUCUACUGCCUCAUGUGUGGCCUAACUGAUGAAUCUGCAGGCCAAGUCCAUGUUUGGGACUGACCCGAGGGGAGGGGUCUGCUUUUAGUAGCACAUAGUACUGCUCUCUUAUUUUGGUCUACAAUAGGAUUGCACAAUCGUAUGAAGUGAUUAGGAGUUUGCACGGAUGGAUAGGGUCUGGUAAAUGUUUAGUGUUUGAAGUUAUCAUUUCUGAGUAGCCUGUAAGAGGAUUAGACACAUGUGAACCGCUUAGCAAUUUUGGCAGCCAGGUCUGGUCUGGUACAUGUCAAGUGUCUAGCAUUAUCAUAUCGGUGUGUCCAGUAAGCAAUAUCUUUUAAGCAUACCUGCCAUUGAUUGAGUCGUUUUUUCUUGACUCAGCUAUUUGGAUUUUAAUAAUGCACCACUUAACAGUUAGUGACAGAUAACAUUCUUGCUUGAUCAUUAUAUAUAUGCUGCCAUGAACAUUUAAGAUUAUUAUCCGGCACUGAACAAGUUAAAUCUUGCUGAACAUGUUGUGCUCAUGUCUCGUUUGUACAACUGUAGAUGAAGGUUUCUUGUUUUGCAUUUCUUCUUAGAAGCAAACACUUGUAGAGCAAAUCUUUCAUAUAUAUGAUAUACUACUUGAUAACUUGGACAGGUGAGGAUUGGUCUUGACACGGCCCAUGCCAGAGAAACUACCAACUAUGUACAGGACCCUGGGGAGAACUACAAUGAGAGAGUUUUGCCUUCAAUCAUUCAUGAAACACUCAAAGCUGUGGUUGCACAAUACAAUGCCACUCAGCUUAUCACACACAGAGAGGCUGUGAGCAGGGAGAUCAGGAAGAUUCGGACAGAGAGGGCCAAGAAUUUCAAUAUUGCUCUGGAUGAUGUUUCCGAGUUCACUCAUGCCCUUGAAGCCAAACAGGUUGCUGCGCAGGAAGCUGAGUGUGCCAAGUUCAUUGUUGACAAGGCUGAGCAAGACAAGAAAAGUGCAAUUAUCAGGGCACAGGCAGGCUGCAUGCAUCCGUGGGCUGUCCCUCGAGACUAUACAUAAACAAGACAUCAUUUUUUGACAUGGAGACGUCAACUUGAGAAGUUAUUGAAAGGAUGUCUAGUGACA
Lolium rigidum is the source of this 1177-nucleotide long non-coding RNA. RefSeq lists it as uncharacterized. The record is from RefSeq and is a predicted model, not a curated record. NCBI's taxonomy places the organism in Eukaryota, Viridiplantae, Streptophyta, Magnoliopsida, Poales, Poaceae. The transcript is spliced from 3 exons.